UUUGUACCUCUGUGGCACAGGUGGGCAGGGGAGUUUUUAGAGCAUGUUGUGGGGGCCUCAGAAAGAAAAAAGUUGAGAACUCCCAGCCACCUUCUCUUCUGCACAAUUCCUCAAGCUAGUGGUGCCCCCUGGUGGACAUCAAGUUAUUUUUUACAACCCAAAGUUUGUAAACAACAGUCACGUGGACAGGAACCAGACUGAGCUCUGACCUCAGUCUCCUCUUCCUGCCAGAAGGGAAGAGAUCAAAUACAACAAAGGCAAAGGGCGUAAGCAUCUGCAGAGGCCAGAAGCAAGGUGGAAUCUGAGUUCCAAGCAUAAUUAUCACACGCACAAUUGUACUAACUCCCUUGAUGUUGUACAACAAACCUUUGUCCACAGCUUUGGAGUAGGCUGGCUUUAUACCUGGCUGACUCAACAGUAGUCAGUGCCAAAAAAGGAAUAAACUCGUCAAGGUAUCUACCCUUCUUUGGGUUAAGCAAGGAAACCCUUUUAUGUAGAAAGGAUUAUAAGGUUGUCAGGGCUCCUUGUAGUGCAGUAGACAAGGCCUCAGCCCCUCCCCAAAUGCUCUGUCUGCACUGGGUCACCAUGGACUGAAGCAUCUGCAAGCUGCCUCUCUCUUUGCCUCAGUGAGAAAUGGUUACAUUGACAGAGAGAAAGUCAGGAUAACAGUGGCCUUAAGAAACCUGUUAUUUAUUGUGGCUUGUAUUGCAGCUGGAAAACAUGUUUAUUUGCACUCCAUUUGGUUCUGCUUCACUUGUAGUCUGUGCCCUAGCGCAACACUGCAAUUGCUAAAACUACUGGGGGUUUAAAUCCCAAUCAAACUGGGCUGAAAGUUCAACAAUAUUAAGAUAUUGCAACCUAAAUUUUGGGCUGAAGUUCCUAACUUGGUCUCUUAAAAACCAUCCUGAUAACACCUGAAAAAAAUAAUUAAUAACUGGUUGCUCUGAUUUCUUCUGCUUAGAGUAAAAGAUGAAAUAUUUCUCCUAACCAAUGAUCCUCUAAUCUUCUCUACAGGGACCAGAGUGUACAGCCCCCCAGAAUGGAUCCACUAUCACCGGUAUCACGGCAGGUCAGCAGCAGUCUGGUCUCUGGGGGUCCUGCUGUAUGACAUGGUCUGUGGGGAUAUCCCCUUUGAACAUGAUGAGGAGAUUAUUAGGGGCCAGGUCUACUUCCGACAGAGGGUCUCUCCAGAGUGCCAGCACCUCAUUAAAUGGUGUCUUGCCUUGAGGCCCUCCGACAGGCCAUCCUUUGAAGAUCUUCUAAAUCAUUCUUGGAUGCAAGAUGUCCUCUUGCCACAGAAAACAGCAGAGAUCCACCUGCACAGUCUAAUUCAGGAGUCUGGAAAAUAGCAGCUCCUCUCAUCCAUUGGGUGUAAAAAGAAAACUCUCACCAGUGACUGUCUGCCUGUUACAUGGGAACAUUCAUAUCUCAUUCCAGAGCUCAGCUAACUGGAGAAUCUUCUGAGAGGCUGGAGGUUACCAUCCAUCCCAGGUGGACUGGUCUUGAACUCGUUUGGUCCUGCCUUACUUGAUGUCUUGCCAGUAGACUUUUUUGAUGUCUUAUGGGCACAUCUGUGAGUGUCCCUGACCUGCUGAGUCCUGGAAUAUGAACUGAGCGAGGACCAGAGAAUUGGCAAGAACGUUUUGCUUGGGGAAACUGGCUGUGGAGGGGGAGGGAAGGUACUGAUUUGAAUAGCUGUCUUAUUCACUGUGUCACCAUGUUCUGAGUGCCUUCAGUUGCGAUCUGGGCUGUGCUGGGGGAAAUACUUGAAUCUUCCUACACCUCUGCUUCUCCAAGAUUCACCUGGGUUUAUUUUAUAUUCCCCUUCUUAAGGAACAGGUCAGAAGCAGCCACGGGUGAAACCAAUGCACCCUGGCUAGUUGUUUCUGAGGUAUGCUGUUAGCGGGACCUUUCCUGCCUCAGCUCUUUGCCUUGAGCCUCAGAAGCCAGGGCGUCCUCACAGAGGCACAAACAAUGCAACCCAAUAGAGCUGUAAAUGUGUACAGAAUUAUACAGGAGCGAAGCUUGGUGUACAGAGGAUUGUAGUUUAUAAUGGUAACGGUUUUACUCUUUUGUUUUAACUUAUUUUCAGGGGUUUGGGUUGUUAUUUGUUUGUUUGUUCUUUAAGUAAAAUGUCCUAACCUGUAGGAUAACUUAUUUAUUUAUUUAUGAAUCGUGGGUUCAGAGCCCAUGCCUGGCUUCCAUAGCUGCUGAGCUGGUUUCCAGUUGGGGUCCCCUCCCCCCCGACUGCACUCCCUUCUUAGAAUGCUCUGUUAAUGUCUCACCACUGUGUGGAGUGGCCGACCGCUUCCCAGCUGUCUGUAAAUAGUUCCGGCUGCCGGUGUUCCUCUUCCAUGUGUGUGUUCAGUUGUUUUAAAGGCAUUUCCACCGGUAUUUGUCUGGGCUGGGGCGGGACGUCACGUGCGCAUGUGUAUAUAGCACUGGUUUUGCCGAGCUGUCGGGGAAGGUACCCUGGACUCCAACACUGUCAAGCCUGUAUAUGUAAUCAGUGUGUAGUCUGCUGCUUUUGUUAAUAGUUAAUCUUGUACAGGGGAAGUCAGAAAUCCUAUUUUUUUUAUACAUGCAGUUUUAAAUAAAAAUGAAUCACUUGACUUAA
Molecule: long non-coding RNA, 2617 nt
Organism: Mauremys reevesii (Reeves's turtle)
Lineage: Eukaryota; Metazoa; Chordata; Testudines; Geoemydidae
Exons: 2
Source: RefSeq, a predicted model, not a curated record